GAUGAACGCUGGCGGCGUGCCUAAUACAUGCAAGUCGAGCGAACGGACGAGAAGCUUUCUUCUCUGAUGUUAGCGGCGGACGGGUGAGUAACACGUGGAUAACCUACCUAUAAGACUGGGAUAACUUCGGGAAACCGUAGCUAAUACCGGAUAAUAUUUUGAACCGCAUGGUUCAAAAGUGAAAGACGGUCUUGCUGUCACUUAUAGAUGGAUCCGCGCUGCAUUAGCUAGUUGGUAAGGUAACGGCUUACCAAGGCAACGAUGCAUAGCCGACCUGAGAGGGGGAUCGGCCACACUGGAACUGAGACACGGUCCAGACUCCUACGGGAGGCAGCAGUAGGGAAUCUUCCGCAAUGGGCGAAAGCCUGACGGAGCAACGCCGCGUGAGUGAUGAAGGUCUUCGGAUCGUAAAACUCUGUUAUUAGGGAAGAACAUAUGUGUAAGUAACUGUGCACAUCUUGACGGUACCUAAUCAGAAAGCCACGGCUAACUACGUG
Molecule: ribosomal RNA, 497 nt
Filed under: uncultured bacterium
Lineage: Bacteria
Description: partial 16S ribosomal RNA
Rfam family: Bacterial small subunit ribosomal RNA
Source: RNAcentral